UGCUUCCUUCUCUCUUUGUCCUCAACUUAUAUGAUUUUGAUGAUUGAUAAUUGAUGUGAGUAAUAUCGUGUUGUGGCAAUGGUAAUGGUGAUGUAAUGGUAAUGAUUGAAUAAAGAAUUUGGUACGUUCUUAAAACACAAGAUUAGUAAAAUUCACUUCAUCGUUGGUGUAAAACAAUAAUUCUAUUCAUUCCUAGAGCAAGUACGAGGGCUGGAGCUUUGUUCUUCGAAGUGUGAGGAUCCAAAUAUCUUGUGUUUAUCCAUAGAGAUUUCGUAAGGAUAAGUUUUUGUCGCUGCUAUUAUUAUUAUUAUCAUCAUUUCUUUUUGGAAGGGAGUUAGCACAUGUUCAGAAAAAUUGGUAACUGUUUCUCGCAUGGUGGUUGUUUUUUCAUUCUUUCUAUCUAUCUUUGAAUGCUAUCUUCUUUGUUAUUUUUCAGUUCUUGGUCCUUUACAAAAGAAAAAAUGUUUGUAUGACGAGAAGAAAUGUGUUUUGCCAAAUGUGAUUUAUAAUUAAAAUAUCGUUACAACUAUUUUUCCUUUAUUAUUCAUAGUCUUAGACUAAGAUUAUUGUUUGUUAAUUUGGAAAGUGUAAUCAAUAAAUUUAAUGUACUUUAUUGAAAAUGUUCCGCAUUCUGGAAAGAAUCUUCUAAAUAAAAAUAUAGGAGUGGUACAAGGAUAUUGUGGCAACUUAGACCAAACCAAAGUGCAUCUGCUGAUCAGUUGCUCUUUCCACUUUCUUCAGGUUUUCAGUUCAUAAGAGUGGGAAGAAGUUGACGAAGGUGAAUAUAAUGAGAAGGCAACUUUGUUAUACUGAUUCUUAGUGAGAAUUAUCAUAUUCCUCAUAUUUUACUUACAUGAGUUUCAAUCUUAUCUAAUUUAGGCUCAUUAUGUAAGUAUUGUCAUCUUGAUCCCCAUCCUUUAUUAGUCUUUUCUUUUGUUUUUGUUCCAUUGAAAUUUAUGGAGGUGACUUUGUAUCAAUGAUUACUAGUGCUUGGAAAUUGAGUUUUUUUGGAGAUUUUGGGAGUAUGUGGAUAGAAUUGAAUUUGAGAAUAUGCAAGAACUAAUCUCUGGAAGCAUCUAUUGUGAGAACACAGUUUUCUUGCCAUCCUUAUGGUGCUCUUUCUUGAGGGCUUUUCCAGAAGUGUCUGGUGGAUUGUCAAUGAUAUUGAAUUUCUCUGUUGUAUUUACUUCGUAA
Long non-coding RNA from Populus euphratica (Euphrates poplar), 1194 nucleotides. RefSeq lists it as uncharacterized. NCBI's taxonomy places the organism in Eukaryota, Viridiplantae, Streptophyta, Magnoliopsida, Malpighiales, Salicaceae. The record is from RefSeq and is a predicted model, not a curated record. The transcript is spliced from 2 exons.